RNAcentral lists this ribosomal RNA (482 nucleotides) under uncultured bacterium. RNAcentral describes it as "bacterial SSU rRNA". It matches the Rfam family "Bacterial small subunit ribosomal RNA", at positions 30 to 506 of the family's 1533-position model. The record is from RNAcentral.
UUGAACGCUGGCGGAAUGCUUUACACAUGCAAGUCGAGCGGCAGCGCGGGGGCAACCCUGGCGGCGAGCGGCGGACGGGUGAGUAAUGCAUCGGAACGUACCUAGUCGUGGGGGAUAACUAUCCGAAAGGAUAGCUAAUACCGCAUACGUCCUGAGGGAGAAAGCAGGGGAUCGCAAGACCUUGCGCGAUUAGAGCGGCCGAUGUCGGAUUAGCUAGUUGGUGGGGUAAAGGCCUACCAAGGCAACGAUCCGUAGCUGGUCUGAGAGGAUGAUCAGCCACACUGGGACUGAGACACGGCCCAGACUCCUACGGGAGGCAGCAGUGGGGAAUUUUGGACAAUGGGGGAAACCCUGAUCCAGCCAUUCCGCGUGAGUGAAGAAGGCCUUCGGGUUGUAAAGCUCUUUCAGGAGGGAAGAAACGGUUACGGAUAAUACCUGUGACUAAUGACGGUACCUUCAGAAGAAGCACCGGCUAACUACGU